GCAAAAAAAAUAUGGUGCCCCAAAGGCCUUAAAGUGACUUCAAGGUCUGGCCUGAAGGGAACGUCACGAUUUGUUGAUAUUUUUCAUCUAUCCUUUGCCAAUAAUUCACAUAGCUUUGAUCCUUGUCAACCACGGAAUCAAGAUAGACACUCUACCAUGCUUGAACCAAGAACACAUCAUCCAUAUCUGUGUAGUGGCCCGUGCUCCCAACCCAACAUCAUAGUCAUCCUCGUCAAUCACUUGCAC
RNAcentral lists this long non-coding RNA (246 nucleotides) under Hordeum vulgare. Its description in RNAcentral is "long non-coding RNA (HVUL_LNC013729)". The record is from RNAcentral. Lineage: Eukaryota; Viridiplantae; Streptophyta; Magnoliopsida; Poales; Poaceae.